RNAcentral lists this ribosomal RNA (1442 nucleotides) under uncultured bacterium. RNAcentral describes it as "partial 16S ribosomal RNA". It matches the Rfam family "Bacterial small subunit ribosomal RNA". The record is from RNAcentral.
AGUUGAUCCUGGCUCAGGAUGAACGCUGGCGGCAUGCCUAAGACAUGCAAGUCGAACGAAGGGACCCAAUGAGAUUUAUAGAAGUUUGGAGAGCUUGCUCAAAGAAUGGAAAUAAAUCAAUUUGGAUUAUCCCUUAGUGGCAAACGGGUGAGUAACACGUGGGUUACCUGCCUUCAAGAUGGGGAUAACAGUUGGAAACGAUUGCUAAUACCGAAUGUGAUCUACGGAUAAAAGAACUCCUUUAAAGUCUUCGUUAGAAGAGUGGCCCCGCGGGGCCUUUAACUAAGUUGGGGAGAGCACCGGCCCCCCCAAGGGGGCACGUUCCAUACCCCAAAUGGGGAGGUUUAUUCGGCCCCCAUUGGGGAUUGAAACCCGCGCCCAAAUCUCUUAGGGGGACACGCAGUUAGGAAUUUUUCGCCAAUGGGGGAAACCCUUAAACGAACAAUGCCGCGGUGAGUGAUGACGGUCCUUUGGGAUUGUAAAACUCUGUUGUUUGGAAAGAACUGUAAGAAGAGGAAAUGCUUCUUACUUGACGGUACCAUUCAAGAAAGCCACGGCUAACUACGUGCCAGCAGCCGCGGUAAUACGUAGGUGGCGAGCGUUAUCCGGAUUUAUUGGGCGUAAAGCGUCCGCAGCCGGUUUAUUAAGUCUAGAAUAAAAGCCUGGAGCUUAACUCCAGUUCGUUCUAGAAACUGAUAUACUUGAGUGUAGUAGAGGCAAAUGGAAUUUCUAGUGUAGCGGUAAAAUGCGUAGAUAUUAGAAGGAACACCAGUGGCGAAGGCGAUUUGCUAGGCUAUUACUGACGGUCAGGGACGAAAGCGUGGGGAGCAAAUAGGAUUAGAUACCCUAGUAGUCCACGCUGUAAACGAUGAGUACUAAGUGUCGGGUUACCGGUGCUGAAGUUAACACAUUAAGUACUCCGCCUGAGUAGUACGGUCGCAAGGCCGAAACUCAAAGGAAUUGACGGGCACCCGCACAAGCGGUGGAGCAUGCUGUUUAAUUCGACAAUACGCGAAGAACCUUACCUAGACUUGACAUCCCCGGCAAAGCUAUAGAAAUAUAGUGGAGGUUACCCGGGUGACAGAUGGUGCAUGGUUGUCGUCAGCUCGUGUCGUGAGAUGUUUGGUUAAGUCCAACAACGAGCGCAACCCUCGUCUUAAGUUACUAACAUUAAGUUGAGCACUCUUAAGAUACUGCCAGUGCAAGCUGGAGGAAGGUGAGGAUGACGUCAAAUCAUCAUGCCUCUUACGUCUAGGGCUACAGGCGUGCUACAAUGGCCGAUACAACGAGAAGCAAUACGGCGACGUAAAGCAAAACUCUAAAAGUCGGUCCCGGUUCGGAUUGGAGUCUGCAACUCGACUCCAUGAAGUUGGAAUCGCUAGUAAUCCCGAAUCAGAAUGUCGGGGUGAAUACGUUCCCGGGUGUUGCACACACCGCCCGUC